GCUUCCGUGGCUCAGUUGGUAGAGCAAUUGAUUCGUAAUCAAUAGGUCGCCGGUUCAAGUCCGGCCGGGAGCU
This 73-nucleotide transfer RNA is filed under the name Bacillota bacterium. Its description in RNAcentral is "Firmicutes bacterium (gut metagenome) tRNA-Thr". It matches the Rfam family "tRNA". From Rfam's summary of the family: Transfer RNA (tRNA) molecules are approximately 80 nucleotides in length. Their secondary structure includes four short double-helical elements and three loops (D, anti-codon, and T loops). Further hydrogen bonds mediate the characteristic L-shaped molecular structure. tRNAs have two regions of fundamental functional importance: the anti-codon, which is responsible for specific mRNA codon recognition, and the 3' end, to which the tRNAs corresponding amino acid is attached (by aminoacyl-tRNA synthetases). tRNAs cope with the degeneracy of the genetic code in two manners: having more than one tRNA (with a specific anti-codon) for a particular amino acid; and 'wobble' base-pairing, i.e. permitting non-standard base-pairing at the 3rd anti-codon position. The record is from RNAcentral. RNAcentral also lists the same sequence under 2 other names. Lineage: Bacteria; Bacillati; Bacillota.